AUAAGUUAACAUGUCACAAGGGCAUAUUGGUCACACCCAAAAAAACUAACACGCGAAAUGCUUGGUAAUAACGUUUCAUGGGAUGAAAAAUAGAGGAUAGUAAGCACUAACCCCAACUAGUGGCAAAAGGAAAUUCUGUCUUCUCUCUUGCUUAUGUGGUUGUCCAUCCGACAUAUGUUCUCUCUCCCAAAAGUAUAUAUUAUAUGCCACAUAUACAAGUACCAUCCGACAUAUGUUG
RNAcentral lists this long non-coding RNA (238 nucleotides) under Setaria italica (foxtail millet). RNAcentral describes it as "long non-coding RNA (SITA_LNC001327)". The record is from RNAcentral. Lineage: Eukaryota; Viridiplantae; Streptophyta; Magnoliopsida; Poales; Poaceae.